RNAcentral lists this ribosomal RNA (497 nucleotides) under uncultured bacterium. Its description in RNAcentral is "partial 16S ribosomal RNA". It matches the Rfam family "Bacterial small subunit ribosomal RNA", at positions 28 to 507 of the family's 1533-position model. The record is from RNAcentral.
GAUGAACGCUGGCGGCGUGCCUAAUACAUGCAAGUCGAGCGAACAGAUGAGGAGCUUGCUCCUCUGACGUUAGCGGCGGACGGGUGAGUAACACGUGGAUAACCUACCUAUAAGACUGGGAUAACGUCGGGAAACCGGAGCUAAUACCGGAUAAUAUAUUGAACCGCAUGGUUCAAUAGUGAAAGACGGUUUUGCUGUCACUUAUAGAUGGAUCCGCGCCGCAUUAGCUAGUUGGUAAGGUAACGGCUUACCAAGGCAACGAUGCGUAGCCGACCUGAGAGGGUGAUCGGCCACACUGGAACUGAGACACGGUCCAGACUCCUACGGGAGGCAGCAGUAGGGAAUCUUCCGCAAUGGGCGAAAGCCUGACGGAGCAACGCCGCGUGAGUGAUGAAGGUCUUCGGAUCGUAAAACUCUGUUAUUAGGGAAGAACAAAUGUGUAAGUAACUAUGCACGUCUUGACGGUACCUAAUCAGAAAGCCACGGCUAACUACGUG